GUGAGACCAGGACAAUGGAUUACAUUAGAGAAGGGAAAGGUAAAGACUGAAAAUGCUUCUCUGAUGGGAAAGCAACUUCCUAUAUCCCACGAGCUCGUGUUACUAUAAUACUAAUACUAAUAGGACUCUGACAAUGCCCGGCGCGUAGCAGUUCCUGGUAGACAGGUGACAAAACAAAUAAAUAUAAAUAAAAUAAGAAUAAAAUAAAAACAGGGAUGAAUAAAAUGGAAAGGAGUGAUGAGCUCUUUGCUGCUGUGUAACCAAAAGUACAACAGUAACUGAAAUAAAACAGGUACAGACAUCUCUGAGACAGCAGAUUAGUGGGCACCUGGCUUAGAUCCCACCCAUUUAAAGGGCAGCUUUGAAAGUAAUUAUCGGGAGGUCUCUUCUAACCUGAAAGACAAGUGAACCUUUCACUGAUUUGUCUCUUUAAGGGUCACUGACAGGUGUCACGGGUCUGGUGGCUUGCAGGCAUAACACAACAGGAACAUUCGAAGCAGGAGUGGACGAGGAAACGGCAGAUUUGUCCGCUGUGAUGAUGGGAUUACCUAACUCUGUCACCAGACACCUCGGUGUCCCUCCCUUUACUGCCUCUCCAGCUACGCUCUCUACCAGCGUCUCCCAAGUCUGCCAUCGUUUUCACACCCAUGGAGGAUGAACUGGAAGUGCCAAGAAAAAUAACAGAGAAUCUUUGGAAGGAGAUAGAAACCGAAUUAAAUGAGGCUCCAUUCUGAAGAUUUUCUAAGCUCUCGGAUCCCAUCAUCACAAAGCAUCCAAAGAGAAAAGAUGGACUUCACUCUCCCUGUAUUAUAACAAAGAGCUCAGACUAGCCUCUUAUCAGUGCUUUGUCGUAUCAGAGUAAGUGACUCUAUAGACAUGCUCUGUUCACCUGCUUUCCCUCCUUGCUUCAACUUACUCCCCAUUGCCUAUGCACAUCCACUCCCCACGGCAAGAUGCAGUCAAGGACCACAUAAAGGAAGAUUUCUAUUUGAAUUUGCCAGAAGUGGAGCCGUUCUAAAGUUCACCAUAAAUGCUGGGCUGGAAGCCGUCCUGAUAACAUAGGUGUUUCUCUCAUAUUCAAGUCUAGCGAUAGAAGAAAGAAUUACUGCUCAAAGUGUCUCCAAGGGCAGAAAAAAAAUCAAUAUAUGAAAUAAAAUUUAUGAAAAUUUC
This 1170-nucleotide long non-coding RNA is filed under the name Mus pahari (shrew mouse). RNAcentral's name for it is "lncRNA (MGP_PahariEiJ_G0012461.1)". Lineage: Eukaryota; Metazoa; Chordata; Mammalia; Rodentia; Muridae. The record is from RNAcentral.